AGCUGCCGGCAGGCUUAAAACAUGUAAAUUCAACGCCCCGCGAGGGGGAUUUCCAGAGGUGGAACAACGCGUGGGAAUCUACAAAUUUUUGGGGAACAAAAAAGGAAAAGGGGGUUUAAUACGGAAUGAGCCCUUGGGGGGAAAGUUUUUCGGUAAUUGGAUGAGCCCGCGUUGAAUAAGUUAGUCGGUGGGUAAAGGCCUUACAAGGGGGAUCGUCCAUAGGGGGUUUGAGAGGAGGUUCAGCCUCCUUGGGGAGGAAACAGGGGGCAGAUUUCUGCGGGAGGCAACAGUGGGAAAUAUUGAACAAGGGGGACAAACGAAAUUCAUCCGAUCCGCAAGAUUGAUAAACAUCGUAGGAUAAAAAGCUAGUUCACCGGCGCAUAUAAUGGCGGUAUCCGGAGAAAAACCCGCGUAUAUACUUGUCACAACAGCCGCUGUAAUGUGGAGGGCGAUAGCGAUGCUCGGAUAUAGUGGGUAUAAAGCGCAUGUAGGCGGACUUAUAUGUCAGGGAUGAAAUCCCGGGUCUCAAGUGGAGAGUCACCUGAGAUACUAGAAGUCGAGAGCUGGAGAGAGGAGAGUGGAAUCACGAGUAUAGAGGUGAAAUUCGUAGAUAUUCACAGGACACCCAGUGGAGAAGGCGGCUCUGUGGCUCGAUACUCACGGAGGGUGGAGAAAGCGUGGGGAGCACACAGGAUUAGAUACCCUGGUAGUCCACGCCGUAAGAUAUGAGAUAUAGCCGUCGGGCAGUAUACUCUUCGGUGGCGCAGCAAACGCAUUAAGCUCUCCGCCUGGGGAGUACGGUCGCAAGAUUAAAACUCAAAGGAAUUGACGGGGGCCCGCACAAGCGGUGGAGCAUGUGGUUUAAUCGAAGCAACGCGCAGAACCUUACCAGACCUUGAAUCCCCGAUCGCGUUACCCAGAGAGUGGUUUCCUUCAUGUUAGGCUGGAUCGUGACAGGUGGCACAUGGCUGUCGUCAGCUCGUGUCGUGAGAUUUUGGGUUAAGUCCCGCAGCGAGCGCACCCUUCGCCUAUAGUUCACCUCAUUCAGGGGCGCACUAUAGGGGGACUCCGGUUGAUAGCCGAGAGGAAGGUGGGGAUGGACGUCAGUCCUUCAUCGCCUUACGGGCUGGGGCUCACACCGUGCACAAUGGUGGUGACAGUGGGGCAGAGAGGCGCGAAGAUCGAAAUAAUAUACAAAAGCCAUCACAUUGGGGAGUGCUCUGUGAAUCUAGAGCGCAAGAAGGGGGAAUCGAUAGUAAUUAGGGAACAGAAUGACGCGGAGAAUACGUUCCGCGGGCCGUGCACACCCCGCGUGUCACACCGAGGGAGUGGGUCUAACCGGAAGGGGCGGAGUAACCAGCAAGGAAGCAGCAAUCGAUGGUUGGUCGAUCGGACC
This 1396-nucleotide ribosomal RNA is filed under the name Phyllobacterium sp. RNAcentral describes it as "bacterial SSU rRNA". It matches the Rfam family "Bacterial small subunit ribosomal RNA". The record is from RNAcentral. Lineage: Bacteria; Pseudomonadati; Pseudomonadota; Alphaproteobacteria; Hyphomicrobiales; Phyllobacteriaceae.